This is a long non-coding RNA of Magnolia sinica, 628 nucleotides long. RefSeq lists it as uncharacterized. The transcript has 3 exons. NCBI's taxonomy places the organism in Eukaryota, Viridiplantae, Streptophyta, Magnoliopsida, Magnoliales, Magnoliaceae. The record is from RefSeq and is a predicted model, not a curated record.
CUCUCUCUCUGCAGCUCCACGAUGCCUCUCUCUGCAACUCCACGACGCCGAACGGACUCUCUGCUGCAACUCCAGUAGCUACCCACCGCGACUCUCUCUCUCUCUCUCUCUCUCUCUCUCUCUCUCUCUCUCUCUCUCCCCCCCCCCCCCCUUGUGCCAAGCAAGAGCUCUCUCUCAAUAGGGCGGCGAAGAAACCUCCAUACGUGGCACAAUCACUCUCGAUUUCCCUCUCUUAGAAAUCUCAAUCCGAUUCCACAUUGCAAGUGGUCAAAGAGCUCAGAGAAUGCCUGCCAGUCAGUGAUGUUGUGGCUGAUGAAGAGGUGAAGUUGGGCUCUUUGAUUGCAAAAGCCAUUGAUUGCAAUUUGAGAUCCGUUUUACUUGAGAAUGGCUGGAGAUGUGUUGCCAAUGGCUGCAUUGUGAAUUCAAGCUUUGCUAGCAGCGAAGAGAAGAAAGAUCUAUACGCCUUUCACGUGGUAACUUCUGUUCAGUAUUGAAGAUGAAUAAUUCAUGCAUUGAACUCUUUUCAGUAUGAUGAAGUGCUAUUGGUGUUUUAUUUGCUAUAAUCAAUGAGGAUUAGAUGAUCCUUGACUGCAGGAUUUGCAGUUUUGCACUAGAUACUAUUUUUACU